CAGAACGUCGUGAGACAGUUCGGUCCCUAUCUGUUGUGGGCGUAGGAAAAUUGAGGAGAUCUGACACUAGUACGAGAGGACCGUGUUGGACAGACCUCUGGUGUAUCAGUUGUUUCGUCAGGAGCACAGCUGAGUAGCUAAGUCUGGCAAGGAUAAGCGCUGAAAGCAUCUAAGUGCGAAGCCAACUUCAAGAUAAGUUUUCCAUGAGGGUCGUCAAAGACGAUGACGUAGAUAGGUCGCAGGUGUAAAGUCGGUAACGGCUGUAGCCGAGCGAAACUAAUUACCCGACACUUUUGCGCCG
Molecule: ribosomal RNA, 301 nt
Filed under: Candidatus Caccoplasma merdipullorum
Lineage: Bacteria; Pseudomonadati; Bacteroidota; Bacteroidia; Bacteroidales; Bacteroidaceae
Description: partial 23S ribosomal RNA
Rfam family: Bacterial large subunit ribosomal RNA
Source: RNAcentral